RNAcentral lists this ribosomal RNA (606 nucleotides) under Triticum aestivum (bread wheat). Its description in RNAcentral is "partial small subunit ribosomal RNA". The record is from RNAcentral. Lineage: Eukaryota; Viridiplantae; Streptophyta; Magnoliopsida; Poales; Poaceae.
AUGGCGCCAGCGCCUAGCCCGUCACCUGCCCCGGCGGCGCCCGGCAUUGCUACCCCCGAGGCGUGGCCGGCGGCCUCUGCCGACGCCGAGCGCGCGUUCACCUGGCUCAGCGCCAACGCCGUACUCGUUCUCGCGAUCCUCGUUUGCGGCCUCUUCGCCACGAUCGCGCUCCACGUCGUCCUGCAGUCCUUGCUACGCGUCACCGGCCGCGCGUGGUUCGGCGCUGGCGGCGGCCUGCAUGAGCCGGCUCCGCGCGGGGGUGGAAGGCGCGGCGGCAGGAACCGGGGGGCCCUGGCGCUCCCGUGCCUGGCUUACUCGGCGGGGCUCGAGCUGGCCGGGUCGUCGCGGUCGGAGUGCGCCAUCUGCCUCGCCGAGUUCGUGCGCGGGGAGCAGGUGCGCGUGCUGCCGCGCUGCAACCACGGGUUCCACGCCCUCUGCAUCGACCGGUGGCUGGCGGCGCGGCCGACGUGCCCCACGUGCAGGCAGGCGCCGUUCGCCGAGGCCGACGAGAGCGUCCUGGCCGCGGACUGUGCACGACCGGCGCCCGCUAUCGCGGUGGUGCGGGUGAUUGUAGACGGUGGCGGGAGGCGGCAUGUGUCGAUUUAG